This is a long non-coding RNA of Pezoporus occidentalis (night parrot), 546 nucleotides long. RefSeq lists it as uncharacterized. The record is from RefSeq and is a predicted model, not a curated record. Lineage: Eukaryota; Metazoa; Chordata; Aves; Psittaciformes; Psittacidae. The transcript has 2 exons.
UUCCUUUUAGUACAAAUAUCCCCUGAAUGCAGAAAGGAUGCACUGAUAUUUUUUUGGUCUAUCACUCAAAUCACACUCCAGCCACCAAAUGCUUGCAGGAAGCUUUGCUGAAGAAAAUAAAGCCAGCUGCAUCUUUCUAACAGCCACCACUGCCUGAUACCUCUAGUGAAGGUGCACAUCAGCUUGAGGCGAACCCUGCCUCCUGGGUGACAGAUAGGUUGUGACAAGGUGCGACAUGCCUGAUGGACCCUACCUGAAGGAAGCAGCAUUACCCGUUACCCUCACAUGGUGUGCUUCUGAGACUUAAUGACAGUUAAUAUCACUCAGGUGUCCUAGCUAUAACAUUUUGAUGUAAAUUAAAUAGAUGCAUUGCAUCAAAGGCGUUUGUAUAAAUGGAAUAAGAAAGGGAAAAAUACUUGUUUGCUGCCUGCUGUUCUUUAUAUGCAAAUCUUAGUAUAUUACAUGGCAACAUAAAUGUUGCCUUCCAUAGCCACAUAAAUGUUUUACUGUUUUAUGAGAUGUUUGCAAUAAAUGUGAUUGAUGAUG